AUGGAUGCAUACUCUACCUCUCUGCUUCUACUAACUUUGAUUCAUCUGCUGCUGCGCUCCUCGGCUCGUGAGUUCCUCUCGCCGGGCUCCUUUCUCUCUGUAGAGGAUAGCUCGGACAGGCUCCAUUCACCCGAUGGUACUUUCAGCUGUGGCUUCAACAACAUUUCUCAAAAUGCCUUUGUCUUCUCUAUUUGGUUCUCUAACACAGCUGAAAAGACUGUCGUCUGGAGCGCAAAUCAUCUCCACCCCGUGUACUCCUGGGGAUCCCAAGUCAUGCUAGAGAGGGAUGGCCGAAUGGUGGUAAAAGAUUAUGAUGGCCAGCCCGUGUGGGAAAAUGGUGUGAACACUUCAUCAAAUGCCGAACAAGCUCAGUUGUUGGACACAGGAAAUCUCAUCGUGAAGGGCCAAGGUGAUAUCAUUCUAUGGCAAAGCUUUGAUUCUCCUACUGAUACAUUGCUACCAAAUCAGAACAUAACUGUUGGUACAAAGUUGGAAUCUAGUAAUAGGCUACUUGUUCCUGGGCACUACAGCUUCCAUUUUGAUGAUGAGCUUUUACUUACACUGUUUGAUGAUCAGAAGGGUGUCUCUUUUAUCUAUUGGCCAAACCCUUUCAUUAAUAUCUGGAGAAAGCAAAGACACUCAUUUAAUACCACCACAAUUGGGGUCCUUGAUAGCUGGGGUUUUUUCCUUGGAAGUGAUAAUUUAACUAUCAAGGCUGCUGAUUGGGGUCUUGAGGUUAUGCGAAGGCUAACAUUGGAUUAUGAUGGCAACCUUAGAUUAUACAGUCUUGAUAAGCCAAAUGGAAGAUGGUCGGUCACAUGGAUGGCAUUUCCGCAGACCUGCUUUGUACGCGGUUUGUGUGGUAUGAAUGGGAUAUGUGUGUAUACACCUAGGCCUGCUUGUGCAUGCGCACCUGGACAUGAGAUCAUUGACCCAAGUGACCGGAGCAAAGGUUGCAUGCCAAAGUUCAACCUCAGUUGUGGUGGGCAUGGGCAGGAGAUGAACUUUUUGAAGCUACCUUCCACGGACUUCCUAGGUUAUGAUCGUAAGAUUGAGUUAGUCUCUCUUCAUGCUUGCAAGCAGAUAUGCUUGAGUGACUGCACAUGCAAAGGUUUCUCAUACUGGCAAGGAGAAGGAAGCUGUUAUCCAAAGUCAUCCCUCGUUGGUGGUGUAGCCAACCCACAAUUACCUGGUUCUAUCUAUCUCAAGCUUCCCAAGACAUUACAAGUCUCAAAGUCCUCGAUUCCUCACUCGCAACCUUCUGGCCCUAGAUAUGGUCCUAACUGUAGUGCAAAGAACAAAUAUGUCACUGCAGAUUUUCUGGAUAAGCGUAAGAGCAGUCAGAGUGGAUCACAGUAUUCGUAUUUCUACGGAUUCUUAUCAGCGAUAUUUUGUGCCGAGGUGAUAUUGGUAGCAUUAGGAUGCUGGUUUAUUUUGAUAAGGGAGCACAGGCAGUUAACAGGAGUAUGGCCGGCUGAGGUAGGCUAUGAAAUGAUAACUAACCAUUUCCGCAGAUACACUUAA
This 1524-nucleotide ribosomal RNA is filed under the name Triticum aestivum (bread wheat). RNAcentral describes it as "partial small subunit ribosomal RNA". Lineage: Eukaryota; Viridiplantae; Streptophyta; Magnoliopsida; Poales; Poaceae. The record is from RNAcentral.